Molecule: ribosomal RNA, 465 nt
Filed under: uncultured bacterium
Lineage: Bacteria
Description: partial 16S ribosomal RNA
Rfam family: Bacterial small subunit ribosomal RNA
Source: RNAcentral
CCUACGGGAGGCUGCAGUAGGGAAUCUUCCACAAUGGGCGAAAGCCUGAUGGAGCAACGCCGCGUGGGUGAAGAAGGUCUUCGGAUCGUAAAACCCUGUUGUUAGAGAAGAAAGUGCGUGAGAGUAACUGUUCACGUUUCGACGGUAUCUAACCAGAAAGCCACGGCUAACUACGUGCCAGCAGCCGCGGUAAUACGUAGGUGGCAAGCGUUAUCCGGAUUUAUUGGGCGUAAAGGGAACGCUGGCGGUCUUUUAAGUCUGAUGUGAAAGCCUUCGGCUUAACCGGAGUAGUGCAUUGGAAACUGGGAGACGUGAGUGCAGAAGAGGAGAGUGGAACUCCAUGUGUAGCGGUGAAAUGCGUAGAUAUAUGGAAGAACACCAGUGGCGGAAGCGGCUCUCUGGUCUGUAACUGACGCUGAGGUUCGAAAGCGUGGGUAGCAAACAGGAUUAGAUACCCUAGUAGUC